RNAcentral lists this transfer RNA (70 nucleotides) under Dipodomys ordii (Ord's kangaroo rat). It matches the Rfam family "tRNA". Rfam says of the family: Transfer RNA (tRNA) molecules are approximately 80 nucleotides in length. Their secondary structure includes four short double-helical elements and three loops (D, anti-codon, and T loops). The record is from Rfam by way of RNAcentral. Lineage: Eukaryota; Metazoa; Chordata; Mammalia; Rodentia; Heteromyidae.
GGGAAUGUGGCUUAGUGGUAGAGUGCUUGCCUAGUAUGCAUGAAGCCCAGGGUUUGAUUCCUCUGUACCA